Molecule: small RNA, 669 nt
Filed under: Pongo abelii (Sumatran orangutan)
Lineage: Eukaryota; Metazoa; Chordata; Mammalia; Primates; Hominidae
Description: processed transcript
Source: RNAcentral
GCAGGUAGAUGCCUCGUGUUGACAGCUACGAGCCAGCCCAGGGUCCCCAGUUCUCAACACUGUCCCACCCAGAUGGCUCCAAGGUGCUCCUGCCUCUCAAUCACCACACCUACCUCUCACCUCAGUCCUUCCCCACUCCCCUCCUGCCUGGACCAUCUCCCCAGGCUCCUUCCCCAUCCCAUCUCGGGUCCUGAGGGGUCUUCUUUGUACCACCCAGCGCUGACUCCAUCCCUUCCUCCCCCACUCUCCAUCAUGACCCCGCUGCCACCUGGCUCAUUUCCUCUCCCAGAACAUCGAGAUCCCCAUCAUGUGAGCCAGCUUAUUCCCAACAGAGUCCCCUGGUGUCCACCCUUUCGGCACCCGCACCCACAGCCAGCCUCAUGACCUCCCCAGAGCUGUGUCUAGAACCCAUUUUUGCCCUGUUGGCCAGCCUUCCUCCUUCCUCCUUCCUCCUCCCUCCUCCUCCCAUCAUCCUAUCUUCACUGCUUCCAGACCUCAUCUCAGCACAUUCUGACACUCCCAACCCCCUCUGCAGCCACCACUGCCCCACUGAUGCCUGAGCCAGGGGCAGGGGCAGACCUGCCCGGCCUGGCCUCCAGCCUGGUGGACCGUCACCUGUGCAAACUCUGAACACCACCUCCAGGUGCUCCGGCUGGCUUUCCCUGGUGU